CCCUUAGAUGUCCGGGGCCGCACGCGCGCUACACUGAAGGAAUCAGCGUGGCUUUCUCCCUGACCCGAAAGGGUUGGGAAACCCGUUGAAUCUCCUUCGUGAUAGGGAUUGGGGCUUGAAAUUGUUCCCCAUGAACGAGGAAUUCCCAGUAAGCGCGAGUCAUAAGCUCGCGGUGAUUACGUCCCUGCCCUUUGUACACACCGCCCGUCGCUACUACCGAUUGAACGGUUUAGUGAGGGCCUCGGAUUGGUCUCGGCCCGCUCUUUACCGGGCGGCGCCGUUGGUCGAGAAGACGCUCGAACUUGAUCGUUUAGAGGAAGUAAAAGUCGUAACA
This 334-nucleotide ribosomal RNA is filed under the name uncultured eukaryote. Its description in RNAcentral is "partial 18S ribosomal RNA". It matches the Rfam family "Eukaryotic small subunit ribosomal RNA", at positions 1470 to 1796 of the family's 1831-position model. The record is from RNAcentral.